Molecule: long non-coding RNA, 271 nt
Filed under: Ananas comosus (pineapple)
Lineage: Eukaryota; Viridiplantae; Streptophyta; Magnoliopsida; Poales; Bromeliaceae
Description: long non-coding RNA (ACOM_LNC013878)
Source: RNAcentral
UGACUCAAAGUAAAAUGAACCGAAAAUUUAUUUUCAUUAUGAAAAAUAUUUUUUUAUUUGUUUGGUUACGAAUUUGAAAAAAAAAAAAUUGAAGCUUUCAUUUUCUACCAUUUUUCGCCAAAAAACGAAAACUCAAGCUACGUAAAAUUUUUUUAUUUAUUUAUUUCCUAUUGAAUCAAAUAAAUAAUGACAGAUGCUUCCGAAAAUUAUAGGUCAUCUGUAUUAAUUCCUCCUUGAUGGAAUGGUUUUUUUGUGUGUGUGUGUGUGUGUG